CUUUCUUUCAUUUUUUCCCCUCUCUUUCCAGAAACAGAUUGCACAACGCAGCAGUGCGAAUGUACAGAGCUGUAAGGGCUACAAGUGAGGGCUGCGCACCUAAUUGUCGUAAAGACAGAAAUGGGGUUGGGCUGGUUUGGGGUUCCGGAGGUUUCUCUGCUCUGUGUGCUUUUGUUCCACUGUUGUUCUGAGUUGCUAUGCAUUUGGUUGUGCAAGUACACAUGGAUUUCUAAGUAUUGCUAUGCAGGCCUGUCUGUGGUAUUGAGAGUGGUGCAAGCACUGCCGAGUUGGUGUGUCUGUAACAAUCUAUAACAACAAGCUGUGAAGCUAUACUUAGACAAUUUGUGUGUGUGUGUGUGUGGGGGGGGUGUGUGUGUGCGCACACACAUGUAGAGAACGGAAGUGUUGCAAUUUGGUAUUGUGCAGGGUGGUUGUGAUUGUUUUUACUGUGGACCUGCAAGAUGUUUACGUGUUUACUACUGUGCAGUUCCGCAGUAGUGGAGCUUAUGUCUUUAAUUUAACCAUGUUUAGGUUGUAAACAUGUAUUCAGACAUAGCUAAUGAUCAGGUAAGUGCCCUGUGUGUGUGUGUGAGUGUGUGAGUGUGUGAGUGUGUGAGUGUGUGAGUGUGUGAGUGUGUGUGUGUGUGCGUGUGCGUGUGCGCGUGUGGUUAAACACAGCACUAUUAGGCAGAGGGGGUGGUGAGGUUGUGUGUGAGGUAAGUGUGUGUGUGUGUGCGUGUGCGCGUGCGCGCGCGCGUGUGUGUGUGUGUGUGUGUGGUUAAACACAGCACUAUUAGGCAGAGGGGUAGGUGAGGUUGUGUGUGAGGUAAGUGUGUGUGUGUGUGAGUGUGAGUGUGUGUGUGUGCGCGUGCGCGUGCGUGUGCGUGCGUGUGUGUGUGUGUGUGUGUGUGCGCGUGCGUGUGUGUGUGUGUGGUUAAACACAGCACUAUUAGGCAGAGGGGUGGUGAUGUUGUGUGUGAGGAGUGUGCGUGUUUCCUUGCUGCCCAAUCCCCUCUUGUUUUGGUCUCUCUGUCAGUUCCCUCACUGCUGCUCCAUGAAAACAACUUCUGACUUUGAAGCCAACAGUGAGGGGCUGGACCUGGGGGAGGUGGAGCUCUCUCUCUCUCUCUCUCUCUCUCUCUCUCUCCCUCUCUCCCUCUCUCUCUGUCUCUUUGUGUUUGGCACACACACACACACACACACACACACACACACUACUACACACACUCUUACCCCC
Clupea harengus (Atlantic herring) is the source of this 1237-nucleotide long non-coding RNA. The record is from Ensembl. NCBI's taxonomy places the organism in Eukaryota, Metazoa, Chordata, Actinopteri, Clupeiformes, Clupeidae.